CAUAUAAUCACCACAUAAAUAAGCUGCAGAUCAGCCAUGGCGAAGACAUCGUUGGAGAUCCGUAGAUCAAACAUGAGUGAUGAGAUGCAGCGUGAGGUUCUUCAGGUCGCUCUUCUGGCUGUGAAUAUGUACACAGGGGAUAAUGACAUUGCUCGCUACAUCAAGACGGAGUUUGACAGAAGGCAUGGGGGCUCCUGGCACUGCAUUAUAGGGAACUUUAGUGCCUGUGUGUCCUCUAACACAGACAGUUAUAUCAGCUUCUCUGUUGCAGGCAAAAGAAUUGUGCUCUUCAAAACCGGCUGAGGUUCAGCAACAGUUCAAACACAAUUUAUUUUAUCCACAUAAUUAAUAAAACAUCCUCCUUCA
This is a long non-coding RNA of Ctenopharyngodon idella (grass carp), 366 nucleotides long. RefSeq lists it as uncharacterized. The record is from RefSeq and is a predicted model, not a curated record. NCBI's taxonomy places the organism in Eukaryota, Metazoa, Chordata, Actinopteri, Cypriniformes, Xenocyprididae. The transcript has 3 exons.